Molecule: long non-coding RNA, 2223 nt
Filed under: Varroa destructor (honeybee mite)
Lineage: Eukaryota; Metazoa; Arthropoda; Arachnida; Mesostigmata; Varroidae
Description: uncharacterized LOC111247498
Source: RNAcentral
UUCUAGCAGCAUCUGUAGAAGCUGUUUCUGAGACUUUUAGCGAUGAAGGUCUCUGAUGAAAUAAACUGCUGAUCCUUUUGCGUCGAAAAUCUGCCCGAUCACCAUAAUAGAAUGUCAUCCGCCUCCUUUCAUAUUUGGCGAAUACAAGCUGCCGCGGGUGGCUUCCUCUAAGAGCUUUUCCACUUCCCCGGCACGCCCCCUGUCCGGGGUUCUAUAGAAGAUAGCCGACGAAGCGAGACCGCCGUCCAGGUCACCGGCAAAAUGAACACACGCACACUGCUGCUGGUCCUGCUGCAGCCUCAAACCGAGCUUCAAGUCUUCUGAUAUCUAUCUAUCUAACUUCCCAUUUCCUUCGGAUCCUGAAUCUCAACAGCCAAUCAACGACACGGCCAUCUAUGGGACAUCCAUUCUGUGUCCCAUUGCUGAGCGCUGAGCCACCAUACAUUCGCCACCCAAGUCUCCUCCGAGUCGGAGCUCACGAUGACCCUAAAGGGACAAAUGUAGUAGUGGUAUUUUCAGCACUGGCGGUGGGAACAGAUGAUAACUUAUAGCCGAGUAAUUGGCACUCCCGAGAGUGGUGAUAUACAUCUUUGAGAGUGUGAGCCCACAUGGUCCAUAUGCCACACAUCGAUAAGCUGCAAAGGUUGGCAUAGCAGGCAUGUGGCAAGUGCGCUGCAAGUAUAUGCAAAGCCACCUAGAUAUACGACAGUGAUGUCAGAGUGCAAAAAUAAUCAUCAAAAAGAUUAAGCACAGCAUUUUGAGACAUAAAAGAUGGCAAGCGGCGAUAUGCUUUGUUAUAAAAAGCUCUAGAAAUAUAGGGGUUUUCAUCAGCCUAAAGAUUCAUUGGGAAUAUCAUACUUUAGUCAUAUGGUUACGAUAAUAAGAAUGUCUACAAAUUUUGGUGCCCGCCGGUUCGCUGUCACCGGAAGGAAUUCCCUGCUGAGCGAGUAAAUGGCGAUAGCGAAAAGAGUUUACCAUCCUGGCCUUAGCACCACCCGUUGUUUCGACCCCGGAUGCGUGAAAUCCUGCUAUGAUAGCACGUUCCGUGGCUAUCGGUCGCAUUCCGGACCCGCCCAGUGUUUAAAUUGUUUAGCCAUUACCGACUCGCUACCAUUGCGAUGUGUUCGCUGAAGAGUCCUCCCACAGACGCCGUUCGCUGGAUCGCCCGUCAACCGAUGGCAACUGGGCAUACGUCGCUUAACUACCGGUUAAUAGCGCAUAUCUAAAAUAGCAUGAGCUGACUCUAAGCUCAGUUGCCCCAAAUGAGAGCAGGAUCUAAAAGUGGGGGCUUGAGGGGGUUCGAUUUGUUGGGAUAUGUGCGCAACGAAGUUCCUUCGCUCGGCUCGCGAUGACAGUGAGCGGGUAUUCGAGGAAGCGCGAGACGCCUUGUGCUCAUCCACCCCCACCAACUUGUUCAUGAUUUUUACUACUACCAAUGCAUAGGUACGUAUAUAGUUCAUAAGCGGAUCUGCUUGAUGCGUCCGUAGAUACCGCCUCCCUAACCGGACCUGCUUCAGUCCCUCUAUGAGCGGUUCUAGAAUAUUUAGGUACGCCACUAGACCUACAUCUCAUCAACAUCAAGAUAUCUGACAGUAAGCAAAAACCUUGUGAAUUAGCUAUCAGCGCCUAGCUGACUAGGUUCUUUGCGUCAGACGAUUCGAUUUCGUUGAACGAGAACCUGCUGGCUCACUGAUUUUGGCUGACCGCGAGACAUCGCUGAGGUAGGCUGCUAAUUUCGCUAGAAACUUGUUCAAGUGUACUCCAUAACUAUUCUAGCAUAUCGCAUCUACCUGAGUAGGUUUGCCAGGUCAGCGGCAGCAGUAGCGACAAUAACAAGUGUGAACCAGCGUGAAAUCUUUAACCCUUUUCGAUUUGGAGGUAUAUUGAAGAGAGUCCUGUGGUGACUAACUUGUAGCAGGCAGGCCGGGUUGCUAUAUGUUUGGGCUCUAUUGAGCAAUUACGUUGAAGUCAUCCGAGAAUCCUCUGACCCGCGAAUGUAGCUACUUAGAGUUGUCAAAACAGCUGUUAAUUCGACACUCAGUACCUUCUGGAAUCGUCGGAUCGUCGUAUUCCUACUAUCUUGAUUUCGUCAACGAUGGAUAUGGUCAAGCAGCGACUAGCACCUGACAGGUGUUAAUUUUAACUGACUGAAAAUAUAGAGCAAAGAGGUGGAUAAUGGAACAAUCCCAAUUUUACCAAACGAACGAUCAUUGUGGCUGGUCA